GUGUGGGAACCGUGUCGGACUACAGCGCCCGGCAUGCCAUGCGGCCGGACUACAGCUCCCGGCAUGCGCCGCGGCCGGACCGCAGCGCCCAGCGUGUCCCGCGCUCGCAAGAUGGCGGCGCCCAGGGGCGGCUCGGGCCCGGGCAGCGACAGCAGCUCGGACUCGGACAGCGGCGCUGAAGCGGCCGCGCGGUUCCGGGAGGCUGCCUGGGACUGCACUGCGCUGGCGGCGGCGCGGGCGGAGCCGCGCAGCGGGGGCUUUAGAAAGGAUCGGUUGCAGCCUAAAGAUCAGCCAAGCCUGAGGCGUGAGGCAAUCGGCCGCGAGGAGGGUGACAAUGAGCUCCAGACAACUCCAGAGUUCAGAGCACACGUAGCAAAGAAACUGGGAACCAUGCUAGACAGCUUCAUCACUGUCUUGAAGGACUCAUCGGGACCAUCACAGGCUUCGGUGGCACAGUGUGACUCUGAAGAUGAUGGUUUUCGCCUGUUCUCUUCCUCUGUCCCUGGUGACUGUGGGAAACCGGAGCCUUGCCCUGCAGCAAGGAGGAGGCAGCCAGUUAGCUCCAGUGACACAGACAGUGACCAGGAGUGGCAGAGGUGCCGGGAGGCUGCCGUGUCAGCUGCGGAUAUUCUGAAGCAAAGUGCUUUCCCUGCACUGUCCCAGGGUUCCAGCCAGGAUCAGAGUCAGGGUUAUGUAGAGCCCAACCAGAAAAAAAAGAAGAAGAAGAAGAAGAAAAUUAGGAGAGAGAAUAGCAUUCAAGAGAAAAUAAUAGACCCAGCAGAGUGUGACCAGAUCUGCAAAGAUUUGCCUCGGCUGGUGUCUGCAAAUGGCCAGCAGGAGAGACAGAACAGCAAUCACAGAGAGAACUCUCUGUUGCCAGGAGCUGUGAAGAAGAAAAAGAAGAAGAAAAAAGAAUAAUGAUUUUGCUCUGCAAACAGCAGGUGGUUGUGAUGGGUGAAGGAAACUGAAAGGAAACCUAACAACAAGAGUUGCUGCAGAUGAGGGAAAAUUAAUUGGCAAAGCGUCUCUUCUAAAAGCUCAGUGGCCUGAGAGACUAAUUAAGUGACUUCCUGUGCUCCUGGCAUCCCCGAGGAAGGGAACAUUGUUCUUCUCACACAGCAGUUGUCUGUGCUGCUGCUUAUGCAGGCCCAAUCUAAAAGGAUUAAAUGCUGUGCCAGACUUGCAUGGCAGAGGGAUGUGAUCAUAGCUGCAUUCCUCCUGCUCUGUUCCUUCACAUCUGAAACCUUUCUGGAGAAAGUGUAUGAUGAAUUGAAUUCUGUUUUCAUGGCAACAGGUGAGAGAAGCCUUCAUUUCCCUGAGGUGGAUUCUGAACUGCUGCUUUGGACCAGACCCUGCUCAAACAGAGGUUCAGAGCUGUGAAGUGCUCAGGACCAUCCCCUGGCCCUUUCCUCUGGAGCUGCUCCACUCCUCAGUGCCCAGCCUGGAGCCAGGCUGGGCAGAGGGAAGGUAAGACCAUCCAUCCUGGCAGUGUUCCUUUCUGUUGAACUUGGCCUCAUCUUGGUUUAUAUGUGGAAAUGAAAGGGGUGUGGCAGCUUCAUCUCCAGAUUCCCCAGCUAGAGCCGUUCUAAGCUAAGCCGGGGGAAAGACAGGACCUUUGUCAUUAUGUAUCUUUGUUUCCUUUUUUCCUCCUGGAAAACAUGCUUUUAUCCCUGCCUCCAGGGGAAACCUGUUGCUUAUCUCAAUUUUCCUCUUUCCUAAUGGAAUUUCAGCCCUUGCCCUACAGGUGGAUUGUCACUAUACCUCUCUUCAUUUGCUUUACCUACAGUAGUAUGAUCCCUCCCCCCAAGGUAGCCUCCUUCUUGCUUUAUAUUCUGGGAAUAUCUGGGAGUUUCUCCUCACACCUCUACCUCCCUACUGAGUCAUUUAUUUCUUAUCAUAGAUGCAAUUUGUUUUGUGUGUGGAUUGAUAUGGAAAGAAUGUUUUUAUUCAAACUGUAAAUCUACGGGAGAUCAGUGAGACAUAUGAAAGGACGAAAUGAAAUUAUGUUAAUUCCCCACAGAGAAACCUUUAUCUGAACUGCUUUUAGCAUGUUUUCUCUCUAGGGACGAAAUCUAAUCCACACCCAUGGGUGCACCCAGUCCUGUGGGUGUAUCUUCUCUGUUCUACUCAGCUUUGAGCAGAGUUUUCCAAACUGGUUUCAGCUUCAGUGGUCCUGUGAAUACAUAGUUGGUCUUUUGGUGCUGUCAAUUUUUUCUCUUUCCAGCUACUGGAAAGCCUAAUAAUGGACAUUUUUCCUGAUUCUACUUUAUAAAGUGAUGGCUUUAUAAGCAGUGGCUGCAGUUACCACAAAGACUUUCCUGUAUUAGCAAUAGCUGCCCACAAGUCAAUCUCUCUGUUAAAAUUUGGUCUGCAGACCAGGAAUGGUUAAUAAUGCCCAAAGAGGCUUCUGUCUAAAGGGAGAAUUGCCUCCAUCUGGUUUCUGCAUUUGAAACCCUUGUGUAGAUGGUGAAAUAGUUUUGCAAGCAUUGACCUUUUGCUGGGAAUCCCUGGGCAUGGAGAUUCUUGUCUGCCUUUCUUUUGUCUAUUGCUGGAAGUAAUUUCUACCAUAGACUGUUCUGCCCUGCUUUACAAUACUUAUAGUACUAUUUAUUUAAGGCAUCUAUUAAUGGAAAGGUUUGAUCUUAAAACCAAAAAAAGUUUAUUAGUAGAUAAGAACUUCUUAGGUAUUAUCAACCUCUGCUACUGGUUCAGAUGCUUUGAACAGAUUUUUAGACCCACUGUUGAUUUGAUGAGAAAUGUGAAACAUGUCAACGCAGGCUUCCUACUCUUUUCAUUUUAACUUGAUAAUUUUUGAUCUAUUAUAGACCUCCACUCUUUUUCUCAAACUGAGGCUUCUGGUGUCUUUAUAUUGUCAUCAACAGCAGAAGUGAAUUGCUCUAUCCUACGGUGGAGGAGAUUGAUGACAGAGAUCUCUGAUGUUUCAGAGUAAAGCCUUUGUAAUUAAGAACCAGUGUGAGGCUUAGGAGAUCCCUGUCCUUGCCCAGUCUCCUCUGUGCUGUCUCAGGGGUUUAGAUAGGUCCUAGAAUUUGUCUGUACCUCAGUUUUCAUUUGUGAAAUGGAAAUGCUGCUUAGCAGACUGACUGUCAGAAAGUGUUAAUGUCACAGCUUUGGAAGAGAGGUAAGACUUGUGGUGAGGCUGGUAAGCACAGAGAAGACUGGCAGCAAGAUCUUAGAAAGGCAGGGAGGAUCAGAAGCCAGAAAUGGUGCUGAAGUGAGGGUGACAGGAAGGAGUUGCCUCCAUCCGUGUGCCUGUUCUUAGAUCACAGCGGAUGUUACUUCAGUCCUGCUUCACCCACCCAUUAGAGAAAAAGGGACAAAGCCGGGGGGGCCUUCCUCAACUUCCAUGGCUUCUUUUCUGGAGAGAUACUUGAUAAACCAUCAAAAGUUAAUGAUCAAAAGGCUUAUCAGGGUAUUUUCAUCUAUAAAUUUAUAAGACAAAAAGAAAUAAUAAAGCCAUUGGAUAAUUAGUAACUAGCCAGGGCCCGCCCGGUGCCACUGGGCUCAAACUGCCCCAAGACCUGUACGCAGACUCAGGAAGAUGAGAAGGAGACAAGGAUGAGGGGAAGAAAAAGAGUGAGAGGCAGAGAGAAUCAGCCAAGGAGACAACAAAAUGGGAGGAAUAGCAGCAGAAACAAUAGUGAGGAGAGAAGGGAAAUAGGUAAAAAGAAUCUGAAAGAUGUAAAGGAAGUAGGGAAAACUUAAAGAUGUGGAAGAGCUAGAAGUGCAGAAGAAAUGAGACAUACUGGGCCAGGAAGAAGACAGAAUUACUGGGAAUGUUUUCCCACACAGCCCGUAGGGUUCCGCUUCGCUCAGUGCCUUGAUCAAGGUCUCCUUGGUCAGCCCCGACUCCAGCAGCGCUUCCAGCAGCUCCACUUGGAGAUGAGUCAGCUUCGAGACCAUGGUCUUCAGCCUGGUGUCUCUCGGGUUGGAAUUUUGGGUUAUCCUGCUUCCAGCUUCCCUACACCAUGGUCCCGAGGUAACACGCCCGACUGUCAGGAGAGUGGGCACGGCACAGCCUCCCGCCUUUACACCCCCCAAAAAAAACAAAAUACAAAAUUGAGCCACUUCAGACCCCCCACGACUGUCCUGAGCCAGUGCUGAUAAAGGGACCCUUGGCUAUCUGUUUACAUUGGAGCAAAUGUAAAUUCUCCAAGGUUCAUAUUUAUCUGUGUGCUUUAGCAAGUUACUGAACUUUGGACUUCAGCACUGCCGCAGCAGUUCACAAAGUGCAGAGGGAGAGAAAGCAGGGGGAGGGGGAAAGGGAGGGAAGCAGGACAGAGAAGGAGAAGAAAAUGAAGGGAUAGAAAAUCUGCAGCAUGGAAAAGUGAGUAUGGAAAGAAAACUAGGAAGAUGGGGAUGGAGAAGCAUGGCUGACUUCUGGCCCCAUUAGUUUUGGAGAAGGAAGGAGGUGGGGUACCCAAAAGGAGGAGCUGUGCUGGGCUGCCCAUGGUUCAGGACAAGGUGCUGCUGUUGGAAUAUUGCAGAACCUGCUCAGAGCUCUGGCAGUGGUGAAGUACAGCCAGUGUCAGGCCCUGCCAAAGGCUUUGGGCUGAGAGAAAGCCACACUGGCAGCUGCACUGGUCUUUGUGCAACCCCCAGCACAGGGGCAGGCAAGCACUGGCUUUAUGCGAACAUUCCCAAACCUCAAAGGGUAUUCUGAAGCUCCAGCUGAUUUCUGUGGCAGAGCAUGAAGACUUAAGUGACUUUUUCAUUUCUAGCUUUGGCUGCUGGAUAUCUUGAUGUGCAAAUACUAGCAGUACCUCCAUUUUACCUUGCUAUGUUUAUUGCCCAACUAUGAGCAGGAGCAGUGUUCCCACAUAACCUGGGGGAUUGCAGGGCUUGCCCUUCUGAGCUUGUGAUUCAUUUAUUGGAUAAAGGAUAGCCCUGGGUGCUGGGUCAUGCUCAAACUCCUGCUCUAUCAUCAACUGUUCUACUGCUUCUGAUGAGUGCUCUGGGCAAGCUUGUGGUUCCCCUUUAUCAUCUGCCUCCAUCCGUUCCUGAUACCAGCCCUGCUCUGAGGUUCUGCUUCCACCUGUUGGGUGAUUUCCUAAAACGUGAUCCCUAGCUUGGCUGGAAUUGCUUAAAACAAUUCUCCAGGAAUCUUUUUGACUGAAUUAUCUUUUCUGGUCUGAAAUGAUAUGAAUGAACUGAACCUAUCUACUUUGAGUGGCUAAAUUAGGGAGUAACUUGAUGUGCACAUGUGGGCUCGAUGCACGAGUGCGUCACGCGAGUGAUUCCUGGGAGGAUGUAAAGCUGUUGUCUCAGUGGAAGCUUGCCAGGGGCAGCUGCCUGUGUCUGUACACUCCCAUCAGCCUGAGCUAAACGGAGCCUGGUGGGGCUGUCCCCAGACUGGGCAGUGUCCCAAGGCAAUGCUGCAGAGGACCUUGGCUCCUGUUUUCCCUUGAGGGCACCACUGGCCAGGCUCUCCAGGCUCCUGAGUCAGCAGCUGCGGCUCAGAGUUCCUGCAGAGGGACCCUCCUCCCUCCAGGCACGGGAGGCACUGUGUUAACUCUUGCCUUUUAUUUCAGAUCUGGUCUGUGCCCAGAGCACCACGUCCCGACCCUGCAGGGCGUAAGCAAAGCUCUAAUGGAUACUGAGGACUUUGUGUGGCUAAAAACGCAGGAGAAUUCCAAGUCCAUGUAAAAACAUUUAUUUGAAGAAAUGUUCAUGUGAACAUGAAUGUAAAGACAACUUCGGCUUCUAAAGAUAUUUUUGGGGUCAUACUCUUAAUAAAGAGUUGUGCUGGUUUUGCACCCAUCACAAGAGUA
This is an RNA transcript of Motacilla alba alba, 5789 nucleotides long. It is a transcript of the gene named chromosome 15 C12orf43 homolog, with no coding region annotated. The record is from RefSeq and is a predicted model, not a curated record. NCBI's taxonomy places the organism in Eukaryota, Metazoa, Chordata, Aves, Passeriformes, Motacillidae. The transcript has 8 exons.